UAAAUUGGUGAGUUAUGGUCGAUUUGAAG
This 29-nucleotide non-coding RNA is filed under the name Mus musculus (house mouse). Lineage: Eukaryota; Metazoa; Chordata; Mammalia; Rodentia; Muridae. The record is from RNAcentral.